AGAGUUUGAUCCUGGCUCAGGAUGAACGCUAGCGGCAGGCCUAAUACAUGCAAGUCGAGGGAGAUUGUUGGAUUCGUCUGACAUGAAACCGGCGCACGGGUGCGUAACACGUAUGCAACCUACCUUUAACUGGGGUAUAGCUCAGAGAAAUCUGAAUUAAUCCCCCAUAAGACUACGACAUGGCAUCAUGAUGUAGUUAAAGCUCCGGCGGUUAAGGAUGGGCAUGCGGUACAUUAGCUAGUUGGUGAGGUAAUGGCUCACCAAGGCUACGAUGUAUAGGGGGUCUGAGAGGAUGAUCCCCCACACUGGUACUGAGACACGGACCAGACUCCUACGGGAGGCAGCAGUAGGGAAUAUUGGUCAAUGGACGCAAGUCUGAACCAGCCAUGCCGCGUGAAGGAUGAAGGCCCUAUGGGUCGUAAACUUCUUUUAUUAGGGAAGAAAAAAUGGGAUGCGUCCUAUACUGACGGUACUUAAUGAAUAAGGAUCGGCUAACUUCGUGCCAGCAGCCGCGGUAAGACGAAGGAUCCAAGCGUUGUCCGGAUUUACUGGGUUUAAAGGGUGCGUAGGCGGAAAAUUAAGUCAGUGGUGAAAGCCCGCAGCUCAACUGUGGAACUGCCAUUGAAACUGGUUUUCUUGAAUAUAGCUGAGGCAGAUGGAAUAUAACAUGUAGCGGUGAAAUGCUUAGAUAUGUUAUAGAACACCGAUUGCGAAGGCAGUCUGCUAAACUAUUAUUGACGCUGAGGCACGAAAGCGUGGGGAGCGAACAGGAUUAGAUACCCUGGUAGUCCACGCCCUAA
Molecule: ribosomal RNA, 800 nt
Filed under: uncultured bacterium
Lineage: Bacteria
Description: bacterial SSU rRNA
Rfam family: Bacterial small subunit ribosomal RNA
Source: RNAcentral